This 445-nucleotide ribosomal RNA is filed under the name uncultured bacterium. RNAcentral describes it as "partial 16S ribosomal RNA". It matches the Rfam family "Bacterial small subunit ribosomal RNA", at positions 354 to 796 of the family's 1533-position model. The record is from RNAcentral.
GUAAGGAAUAUUGGUCAAUGGACGAAAGUCUGAACCAGCCAUGCCGCGUGGAGGAUGAAGGUCCUCUGGAUUGUAAACUUCUUUUAUAUGGGACGAAAAUGGGGCUUUCUAGCUCAACUGACGGUACCAUAUGAAUAAGCACCGGCUAACUCCGUGCCAGCAGCCGCGGUAAUACGGAGGGUGCAAGCGUUAUCCGGAUUCACUGGGUUUAAAGGGUGCGUAGGUGGAUUGGUAAGUCAGAGGUGAAAUCUCCGGACUCAACUCGGAAACUGCCUUUGAUACUAUCAAUCUUGAAUAUUGUGGAGGUUAGCGGAAUAUGUCAUGUAGCGGUGAAAUGCUUAGAUAUGACAUAGAACACCAAUUGCGAAGGCAGCUGGCUACACAUAUAUUGACACUGAGGCACGAAAGCGUGGGGAUCAAACAGGAUUAGAUACCCUGGUAGUCC